CUACGGGUGCUCCAGUGAGGAAUAUUGCACAAUGGGGGGAACCCUGAUGCAGCAACGCCGCGUGGAGGAUGACGCAUUUCGGUGUGUAAACUCCUUUUGUAUGUCAAGAAAAUGACGGUAGCAUAUGAAUAAGCACCGGCUAACUCCGUGCCAGCAGCCGCGGUAAUACGGAGGGUGCAGGCGUUACUCGGAAUCACUGGGCGUAAAGGACGCGUAGGCGGGUUGGAAAGUCAGGUGUGAAAUCCUACAGCUUAACUGUAGAACUGCACUUGAAACUUCUAAUCUAGAGUAUGGGAGGGGGAGAUGGAAUUAGUGGUGUAGGGGUAAAAUCCGUAGAUAUCACUAGGAAUACCUAAAGCGAAGGCGAUCUCCUGGAACAUUACUGACGCUAAGGCGUGAAAGCGUGGGGAGCAAACAGGAUUAGAUACCCGCGUAGUC
Molecule: ribosomal RNA, 438 nt
Filed under: uncultured bacterium
Lineage: Bacteria
Description: partial 16S ribosomal RNA
Rfam family: Bacterial small subunit ribosomal RNA
Source: RNAcentral